Octopus sinensis (East Asian common octopus) is the source of this 3949-nucleotide RNA transcript. It is a transcript of the gene named protocadherin gamma-B6, with no coding region annotated. NCBI's taxonomy places the organism in Eukaryota, Metazoa, Mollusca, Cephalopoda, Octopoda, Octopodidae. The transcript has 7 exons. The record is from RefSeq and is a predicted model, not a curated record.
CCAAGAAAAUAAGUGAUGUUGGCUGGAAUCUGAAGCAGAAUUUCCGUUUUCCUUCCAUGGGAACCAUAAACAGCCUGUUAUUGGUUGUAGCAGACAUUACAUACACACUAUACUUGAUAGAAAUGUAAACCUCUCUCUCUCAUACUCACACAACACAGACCAAGCCACACAGUAUUGCUGGCUCACAUCAGCAGCAGUAACUGUACAACUCUACAGCAGGAUACAUACACAGUUCAGCUAUCGGCACAUUGGAGAAAAAUUUGCAGUAUUGAUUUACUAUCAAUGACUUCAUAAAAUCAUUAUAAAGAUAAUGUUGGUGCCAAUAUUGUUACUACUAUUUCUUCCGAAAUUAUCACAAACUGUUGACAUAACCUAUAAUGUGAAAGAGAACCAAGCUCCAGGCACAUACAUUGGAGACAUUGCUAUUGACUCACAUUUAGGAAGCAGUAUUCCAUCACAAGAUCACAGUCUUCUUUGGUUUAGCCAACUUACUAGCAGUUCUCAGCUAUUUAAUGUCUCUAAGACAGGGAAAUUUUAUACCUCAUUAAUAUUAGAUGCUGAAUCUCUUUGUAAAUACAAGACAGAAUGUUUCAGAAUAGUAGAUGUUGCAGUCAGCCACAAAGAAUCUUUUGUAAAAAUAUUAGAAAUCAAAGUUAUUAUUGAAGACGCCAAUGACAAUCAACCUAAAUUUCCAGAGAAACAAGUAGAAAUAAUGUUCUCUGAAAGAGACAGCAUUGGAUCUUGGACAGCAAUACCAAAUGCUAUGGAUAAUGAUGUAAGCAUUCAAAGUUCACGGAUAACUUAUCAUCUAAAGAAAACAAAACAAGAACCUUUCACAUUAUCUGUUUUCAGAAACUUAGAUGGUUCUGCUAAACUUGGAAUAGUUUUACAAGAGAAACUUGACAGAGAACUGAAAGAUUCUUAUCAACUUCAAGUUAUUGCAAAAGAUGGUGGCCAUCCCCCUAAAGAAGGUGUUCUAAAUCUCCAAAUAUUAAUUCGAGAUGAAAAUGACAAUUCCCCAAUUUUCUCCCAAAAUAUUUACAAUGUUUCUAUCAAAAAUAGUUAUCAAAGAUCAAUGCCUAUAGUCACUUUAUCAGCAACUGACUUAGAUUCUGGUGAAAAUGGUAAAGUAAUGUUCCAGUUCAGUUCCAAAACAUCAGAGAGUGCCAGAGCCUAUUUUAAAUUAAAUGAAUCAACAGGAGAAAUCUGGCAACUGCAAAAGUUUCCACCAGGAUCAAAAAAAUUAUACAAACUGUAUGUUAAAGCCAAGGAUGGAGGAAAUCCAUCUUUGAGCUCAGUUGCUAUGGUUUUAGUGAAUAUAAAUAGUCAAGAGAAUAAUCCUCCUGAUAUAGACAUGAAUUUUAUAUCAAAAUCAGCAGCACAUCUAGCCAGUAUUUCAGAGGGAGUAAAAAUUGGUAGCUUUAUUGCUUAUGUAAAAGUCACUGAUAAUGAUAUUGGACAGAAUGGUGAAGUUCAUUGUUUGCUUCACCAUGAUAAGUUGCAGCUCCAAGGUCUUGGAAGAAAUAAAUAUAAAGUUAUAGUAAAAAAGGUUAUAGAUAGAGAAAGUAAGAGUUAUAUCAAUUUUACCAUUUCUUGUGAAGAUAAAGGAUUUCCACCCCUGAAGACAGACAAACAUUUUUAUAUACAAGUAAUGGAUAUAAACGAUGUACAACCAGAAUUUAUCAAAUCCUUAUUUAGAUUCCAAACAUAUGAAAAUGAAGAAGCAAACUUUCCUGUGGGCUUUAUAAAUGCCUCAGAUCCAGACUUAGGAUCUGGAGGAGAAUUAAAAUAUUCCCUGUUGAAUAACAAUGAAGAUAUUCUCCCAUUCAAGAUUUCAAACUUUGGAUUUAUUUCAACAAUUUCAACAUUAGACCAUGAAAAACAAGAUGUUUAUAAGUUCAAAGUCUUGGUAGAAGAUAAAGGAAUACCCUCUUUAAGUGAUACAGCAAAUAUAAUUGUUGAAGUGAUGGAUAAAAAUGACAACGUUCCAUAUUUUACAUUUCCUAGUGUUGAUCCCUUUAAUCUGGAUGUCCACUACCAUCCACAAAGUAACACCGAGAUAACAACAUUAAGAGCUUCUGAUAGAGACAGUCAUGUGAAUGCUUUCCUCAGAUAUGAAAUAUUUGGAGGAAAUAACAGACAAUUAUUCUCAGUUAACCCCUAUUCUGGUGUUAUAUCAUUCUCUCGUCCCAUUUACCAAAAUGAUGCUGGAUCAUAUACUUUGAACUUAGUUGUCAAAGAUAGUGGCACUCCAGUUUUAUCAGCAACCACUACACUGUCUUUGACACUAACUGUUAGCAAUACAACAGCCAGAAUGUACACAGCUGAAGACACGGAAUCAGACAACAGAAUUCAUAUUAACUUGAUGAUUAUAAUUGUGGUAGCAGCAGUGAUAGUUUCUGUGGCCAUUGUAGUUUCAGUGAUAGUAUGUGUUGUCCAUAAAAGGCAUCAAAGAGACGUCCAGUACGCUACAAACAAUGAGUUUGUUGGUGAACAAAGACAGUCAGGAUAUGUCUGUGAACUAAUGUCACCUAAAUAUGAUAUCCCAGUUGCUAUGGUAACAGAUGCAGACUGCAAUCGCACCCCUAAAGCAACACUAAUAAGAAGAGACCCAAAUUCUGAUUAUGAACCUGGGUGUGACUGGGAAGUUUCCUCUGCAGAAGUCCAUCCUCAGUUCCUUACUACACAAUCUCACCAGAUCAAUUUUCUCUCAAGCAGGGCCUCGGACAUAGGCCAACAUGAGCCUAUAAUUGUGUCUCUUGACCGUCUUAAUGACAUAUCAACAAUCCCAUCAAAUGCAGAAAAUAAUCAAGAAUGGAAUGAAAGAAAUGCUGGACAUUAUGAAACUCUACCAGGUCUAAAGUAUUUUCCGCAAGAACAGACUCCAAGUUCAGCCGUUAAGUUAUUUUCUAAUGAUGUACCAUAUAUAUGAAAAGGCUUACCAAUUACUAAAAGGAACCUACACACAAUUCAACAUAUUCAGCAAUAAGCAGGAAAAGGAAAUACAAAAUCAACUGAAACAGAAGCACUCGUUACCUUGACAACCACAACGUUCACAUAAACUACCAUCGAGUCCACCAUGUCAAAACUGAAGGAACAUUUCCAGAAAUGCCAAACUUCCACAAGAAAUAGUUCUACAGUCAUGUAGAGAAAUGGCAUCAAGGUAAACUAUGGCCUAUCUAAUAGGUGAUUGAAAGAGGCUUCCAAACAGAUGCUGUAGUAGUCUGACGUUAUCUGAAACCUGAAAAAUGGAACAUUCCAAUAAACAAAAUUCUGCCUUAUCAAGGGCUUUAAACUCAUAAAGCUGAAUCAAUAUUCUCAAUCCAAUCCCUUCUGCAACAUUCUAUAGGAAACAAAGAUUGUAAGGGAUAUAUCAGUACGAACCAAGAUAAGUGUGGAUACAUUUACUAAAUUUUUUCAGCUUAGAAGAAUAAUGAAACUGAAACUGUUAAUUACAUUCUGCUUGAUUACAUUCAUCAACACAAAUUUACUGCUCUCCAGAAAAAUAUGUGUGUGUAUGUGUGUGUGUGUGUGUGUGUGUGUGUACAUAUAUAUGCUUCUGUAUGUACAAAUGGAUGUGUGUGUACGUGCAUACACACACACACAAAACCACUUGAACACGCACAUAUAUUUGCAUAUGUACAUAUAUGUAUAUGUAUGUAUAUACUUAUACCUAAGUAUAAAUACAGAACACAUGCAAACACACAUACACACACACAUACAUAUGAACAGACAGAUAAGUCAUUUUGUAUAAAGACUUUAAGAAGAUUUCACAGAAAUUCUUACAUUAGUAAUGAAGGUAUUUCACCUAUUUUGCACCAAACAUAAAAGGGAAAUAAAUUAAGCAAAUGGACACCCCAUGAAAUCAUUGAUAGGAUCAAGAAGCAAAGGAUCACAAUUUGUCACUAAAUCAAAACUGAUUACAUUUUUCUCUCCCACAUCAAAACUG